Molecule: long non-coding RNA, 4563 nt
Filed under: Citrus x clementina
Lineage: Eukaryota; Viridiplantae; Streptophyta; Magnoliopsida; Sapindales; Rutaceae
Description: Citrus clementina (C. clementina) long non-coding RNA (CCLE_LNC000723)
Source: RNAcentral
GCUAAUCUUUAUUUUACUAAUUUUUUUAAUAAUAUUCUGUGACUCGUGUUUUUAUAAGCACAAAAAUUAUAUCAGCACUGAAGUCAAAUCCUUCGCAACAGUACAAACACUGUCUUAGUUUCUAAUAAGUGUUUCAUUUUCUCUUGUCCAAAAGUGGGAGCAUCGGCACCAACAGCCUACUAAUUAAAUAGAAUUAUGCAUGCAAGCGAUUGAGACCGUCACUAAUAAAUGUUCUUCCUCAAAGUGGAAGCAAUCCCAUCCAAUUACUUUACAUCAGUUCUCAUUUGGUUUAUUAAUGAUUCUGUUGCGUGACGUGAUCCGGGUCAUCUGGACAUAAGCUCAAUUAAUUUAUUAAUGCAGUUUUCAUGUGCAUUAUACAUCUUCUUAUUGAGUUCUUUGUACAAUUUAAUACUAUUCUUAGAUAUGAAGUGAGUAUAUUUAUCAGAAUAAAAUAUUAGGAGUUAUCGUAACAAUUAAGGUAUUGUUUGAGAGAUUGAGGUUGAGCAAUUUUAACUUUGAAAGGUAUAACACUAAAGUGAUUGAUAAAUAAUAACUGUUGUAAUUUAAAAGAUAAGUCGAUUUGAUUUUAUACUCGUAUAAUAAAAAAAAAUUAUUAUAUUUCUACUAAUUUUGAAAAAUCUUUUAAGGUACAAUGUCUCAAUACCAAACAUGGAUGCAUGCUUACGUAGGCUCAUAAUUCAAUGGACGCAUACUUACGUAGGCUCAUAAUUCAGCCCACUAUCAUAUUGGGCCGUAGUUUCCCAACUGGGCUAAUAAUAUUUUGCAUUCUGCUUGAGCCUUUGGCCCAGUUAAUGGGCAUUUUGGGUGCCACGGAUGCGGAACAAUUUGAGUUUUACUGCCGAGUGCCCAUUCCUUUCUUUUUCUUUUACUUUUCUUUUUAUCUCUCUCUCUCUCUCUCUCUCUCUCUCUCUCUCUCUCUCUCUCUAUAUAUAUCAAAGAUCAAGUGGUUUUCAAAUAGUAUUUUUUUUUCUUUUUUGGGCCACCGAACUCGAGUUAUGGGAAAAAUAAAAAUUAAAAAAAUUAAUUUGAAUCUUGUCUACCUACCCUUUUUCUCUUCUAUAAGAUCAAAAUUGGCACUCUAUUUGCUCCCUAUAGAAAGAUCAAGUAGUUUUCAAAUAGUAUUUUUUCUUUUUUGGGCCACGAAUUCGAGUUAUGGGAAAAAUAGAAAUUAGAAAAAUUAAUUUGAAUCUUGUCUACCUACCUUUUGAAAAUAUAUACACACACACAAAUAGAUGAUAAAUCAUAUUUACUAUUGUUCUUAUAAUAAAUAAAUUUUUAUUGACAGAUAUUUCUCCUUGUGUCGGAGAAAAUCUUUUGAUUGUGCUAAUCAUUUCAUUCAUUAAACCUCGUUCCGACGAAUUUUUAAUUAUACCCUUUUAGAUUUGACAUGAUUAAUUCAUUUAACUCUCCUUGGUUAUUACUUAUUACUUCUAUUGCACGCGAAUGGGGCUAUGCUUGUCAAUUUUGGGUUUAUACAGUAAAAAAUAAAAUAAAAAAUUAUAUUAAGUGUUUAAUGCCAUGUUGUUGUUUAAGGCAUAUAAUGAUUGCUUUGCAAUUUUAAUCAACUUUUGUGAACGCAUAAUAAAUGAUUGCGCGUAAUUUUAUUAUAAACUUGAAAAAGAAGUUUUCAACUUUAGGGGUAAAAAAAAAAAAAAAAAAGAAAUAGAAGAAAAUGACUGUUAUUUGAUCCAUGACAAAGAUCUUGUGAUAAUAAUAGUGUCAUUUUGAAAGCUUUAAAAUGUCAUCUCUCGAAUUUUCCUUUAUUAAUUAAUUUUGGAAGAAAAAAACAAACUUGCUCUUCUAAUCAUAUUGAAGAGAACUCAAUUGCGUAUUGAACUUAAAAUCAAACCAAAUCCAAUUUUGUCGAACCCAAAUCCAGUCCUGGGGCCUGCAAUUAAUUAUUUGGAUGUGACGCAUGUGAAAGAUGGAAAACUCAAAUUAAAUCAUUGAGAUAAAUAGAUGGACAUAUACAUUAUACACAUAAAAUGAACCAAUAAAUGGAAAUGUAAAUGUAAACAAAGCACAUUUGCUAGCAAUGAUGAAGGCCAAACUAGUGAAUUUGAGAUUAUACUUUCUUUUUUUUUUUAAAUGAGAAUGAAUUUGAGAUUAUACUUGAUUCAUGAAUAUAUACGUUGAGAUAAAUUUUGUGACUAUUAACAUUAUUUAUUCAUAGUAGAAGUUUUGUUUUUUUGGGCCCCUUUCUCCACAUAUAAAGAAACUUAUAUAUAUAUAAAAUAAAAAUGAUAUCAUAGUUAGUUGUAUCAGUCAUUUUACUAUGAAUAACUUCACAUAUAGUCAUAUAUGAUGGUUGUUAUGUUGCAUAAUUGUGUAACGUUCACUAACCCAAAAGUCGUUACUAGUAACACAAAAGUAUAACCAAUAAAAACUAAUUGUGUGUUAAUGAUAGUAUUAUUAAUUCAAUUGCUCACGUCAUGAUGUGUUAUUAGUAGUACUUGUUGGGUUGAUGUAUGUUACAUAAUUAUUUAACUUAACAAGGUCUGUCAUAUAUUUAUAACGGCUCAUAAAUAAAAUAAAAAUUACUGAUUAACAUAUUUGUAUUAUUUAUAUCGUGUCAUUCAUCAUGACGUGAGCAAUCUCGAUCACUAAAUUAUUAGGAAAAAUGAUAUUCCCUCGAGUAGAACCCCAAAACUGAACCAUUUUUCAAGUUCUAGCUUUGUUGAGUUAAAAAAGAAAAGUGGAAUUUUGGGUUUGAGUAGGAAGAAUAUCGUUUGUCAAUUGUUACUAUUUGUGUGGAUAUGUGAUUUUAAUAACCCAAAAUAUGGAGACAUACAAGAGUAGAUAAGUCUAUGAUUAUAUAAAGUUUGCAAAACGAAAAGACUAAUAAGUCUAUGAUUUAAAAAUAUCAAAUUCUCUUGUCAUAAAUAAAUAAAUCCCAGAUAUUUAAAUUGCGCAAUUGACCAUCAAGGUUUCAUUAAUCAAUACAUGCAAUAAAGUCAAAGACCAAAACAAUUUUCCCAUCCAAGCAGGCGCAAUGUCGCCCUCAAACCAUGACAUCAACCAAUGAUAUUUUCCUGUAGUCAGUAAACUUUCCGGGAAAAAUCGUGAUGAAGGAAACCACCCACAAUGAAUCAAUGACAAAUUGCUAUUUGUAAUUAACGACGUGCCUAAAUAGCAUUGCUCUUAAUAUUUGAGUUCAAAUGCAUUAUAUUAAAUGCAAAGGACAAUAAAACUUCUAUAUAUUAAAUGUGAAAAAGAAGGCCAUUAUCUUUUAUAUACAUAUUUAUUUGAUAUAUAUUAUUUUAUUUACUGAACUGUACCCAUCUCUUUGAAUUCAAGUAUCAACUAAGUGGUGGUGGGGUUCACCAUUUGAUAUUGUUGUUUGUUUUGAUCAAUGAGAAAAAGGCACACCUGUUUCUUUUGCUUUCAUUUCCAGGCUUUGAAUGUAAUUGGGUGAGUGCAACAGCUAACUAACCCUUCACACUCGUCAACAUGAAACAAUAUCAAUGGAGAAAAUAUAUUAUCUUCUGAUAAAAAUAUCGGGGCUUGAUUGCGAAUAUAUUUGUUUUUAUUCUGCGGGCAUUUUGAAAGGGACGCUGCCCCCUUCAUUAUUUUUUUAUUUUAUUACAUGAUAUUAUUGUUCAGACUACAACUCAUAUUAUAUGCGAAUAUAACUGAUAUUUACAAAUCAGAUUAUGACUGAAACUAACUUACAUCAAUACUAAUAAAACUCUGUCUAAAUUUUAACCCUCUCAAAUAUUCAAGAAAUGUCUACUCCUUAUUUUUGACUGCCUUCACUCAAAUUUAAUUAAAAAAAAAAUAUUCCCACAUUACAUUGUGGGGAUUCGAACUGCUGCCCUCCAACUCUAGCCCUGACCACUCAGCCCCUUUCGUUAUUUUGGUUCUCACUUUAUGUUGCUUGGAUUCCCCAAGGCCUCAAGAAAUUUUAAUGUUAUUUAAAUUUCUAUUAGCCAAAUAAAUUUGAAAGUCAAAUCCAAUCGACCGGGUGGCUAGGGGGGAUGAAAGUGAUUUUCGAGGAGCUAAAGCCUAAAAGCCACUCACUGGGGCUAACCUUGAAUAAUGAAUUCUCACUUUACAAAAUCAUUAAUUUAUGUUCCACCAAAUAGCUAGCAGAAAGAUGAAUACCACAUACAGUAUAAAGAACAUCGACUUGAGGGAGACGGUGAAUAAAAUUUAAUUAUGCCUCAACAAAUUAAGAAAAAUGUCAAGAGUAAAAUGGGUAAAUGGGUCUUUUGCAUCAUCUAUUCAAUCAUUCAAUAAAAUUGUUUUCCUGUGCUAAAAGAUACUCUCUUCCAUCAAUUCUAACUAUUAUAACAUUAAUUUGUAAACAAUAUUUUAAAUUAAAUAGUAAAAAAUUGGACACAAACGUUCACAUAUACUCACCGACUGCCCUCAUGCAAUACAUCUCUAAACAUUCGAAGUCAAAAAAUAACUAAAAUAUUAACUCAUUCAACCUCAAUGUAGGAGGCUGAUACCGGUCAAAAGAGGCAAUAUUUAAAACCUAUUAUCUAUUCUUAUUCAAAAAGAAUUGAGUCUAAUGACACCCAAAAUCAUUUUAUGAAU